This 750-nucleotide ribosomal RNA is filed under the name bacterium. RNAcentral's name for it is "bacterial SSU rRNA". It matches the Rfam family "Bacterial small subunit ribosomal RNA", at positions 40 to 781 of the family's 1533-position model. The record is from RNAcentral.
CGGGGGUCCUACACAUGCAGUCGAGCGGCAGCGGGAAGUAGCUUGCUACUUUGCCGGCGAGCGGCGGACGGGUGAGUAAUGUCUGGGAAACUGCCUGAUGGAGGGGGAUAACUACUGGAAACGGUAGCUAAUACCGCAUGACCUCGCAAGAGCAAAGUGGGGGACCUUCGGGCCUCACGCCAUCGGAUGUGCCCAGAUGGGAUUAGCUAGUAGGUGAGGUAAUGGCUCACCUAGGCGACGAUCCCUAGCUGGUCUGAGAGGAUGACCAGCCACACUGGAACUGAGACACGGUCCAGACUCCUACGGGAGGCAGCAGUGGGGAAUAUUGCACAAUGGGCGCAAGCCUGAUGCAGCCAUGCCGCGUGUGUGAAGAAGGCCUUAGGGUUGUAAAGCACUUUCAGCGAGGAGGAAGGGUUCAGUGUUAAUAGCACUGUGCAUUGACGUUACUCGCAGAAGAAGCACCGGCUAACUCCGUGCCAGCAGCCGCGGUAAUACGGAGGGUGCAAGCGUUAAUCGGAAUUACUGGGCGUAAAGCGCACGCAGGCGGUUUGUUAAGUCAGAUGUGAAAUCCCCGAGCUUAACUUGGGAACUGCAUUUGAAACUGGCAAGCUAGAGUCUUGUAGAGGGGGGUAGAAUUCCAGGUGUAGCGGUGAAAUGCGUAGAGAUCUGGAGGAAUACCGGUGGCGAAGGCGGCCCCCUGGACAAAGACUGACGCUCAGGUGCGAAAGCGUGGGGAGCAAACGGAUAAAC